CUGCCGGAGACCACUGCUGUGGGGGUCCGACUAAGCCAUGCGAGUGGUGGGUACGCUUCGAAAGGGGCGUGGCCCCGCACACGGCUCAGUAACACGUCGUCAACCUACCCUGAGGACGGGGAUAACCUCGGGAAACUGAGGAUAAUCCCCGAUAGACAAGAGGUGCUGGAAUGCCCUCUUAUCUAAAACCGGCGGGUAAAACCGCACGGGCCCCAGGAUGGACGGCGGCCUAUCAGGUAGUUGGUGGGGUAACGGCCCACCAAGCCUACGACGGGUAGCCGCUCUGAGAGGAGGAGCGGCGAGAUGGGCACUGAGACAAGGGCCCAGGCCCUACGGGGCGCAGCAGGCGCGAAACCUCCGCAAUGGGCGAAAGCCCGACGGGGGGACCCCCAGUGCCGUUGGCCUUUUCGGUCGGCGGCUUUUCGGGAGUCUAAAAAGCUCCCGGAAUAAGGGCUGGGUAAGUCGGGUGCCAGCCGCCGCGGUAAUACCCGCAGCCCAAGUGGUGGUCACUAUUAUUGGGCCUAAAGCGCUCGUAGCUGGAUCGGUAAGUCCUCCGUGAAAUCGACCAGUAGACUGGUCGGCGCGCGGGAGAUACUGCCGGUCUAGGGGCCGGGAGACGCCAGGGGUACUCCGGGGGUAGGGGUGAAAUCCUGUAAUCCCCGGGGGACCACCGGUGGCGAAGGCGCCUGGCGAGAACGGACCCGACAGUGAGGGGCGAAGGCUGGGGGAGCAAAGGGGAUUAGAUACCCCCGUAGUCCCAGCAGUAAAGGAUGCGGGCCAGGUGUGGGAUGUCCUUAGGGGGCAUUCCGUGCCGGAGGGAAGCCGUUAAGCCCGCCGCCUGGGAAGUACGGCCGCAAGGUUGAAACUUAAAGGAAUUGGCGGGGGAGCACCACAACGGGUGGCUCCUGCGGUUCAUUGAUCU
Molecule: ribosomal RNA, 922 nt
Filed under: uncultured archaeon
Lineage: Archaea
Description: bacterial SSU rRNA
Rfam family: Archaeal small subunit ribosomal RNA
Source: RNAcentral